This is a long non-coding RNA of Sebastes umbrosus (honeycomb rockfish), 712 nucleotides long. RefSeq lists it as uncharacterized. The transcript is spliced from 4 exons. The record is from RefSeq and is a predicted model, not a curated record. NCBI's taxonomy places the organism in Eukaryota, Metazoa, Chordata, Actinopteri, Perciformes, Sebastidae.
CACCGCAGGUCACAUCGUGGUUGACGCCAGCCACUGAGAUCUCAGCGUUGCCGAUGGGGUUGUUGUUUUCAUCAUACACCAUGCCUUUUAUCCCAUGAUGCACCUGUAAAAAAACACAAGAGCCAGAGGUUUCGCUCACCUUUGGACAGAGAGUACCAGCUGGCCCCGUUGGUGAUCCCCUCAUCGAAGAAAUCCCCACAGUUCCAGCCCUUGUGCAUCCAGCUGUGAGCGUACGAAUUAGCCACCGAUGUUUAUCAAAGAGGCCAACUUGGGACGACUCCUCUUCUUCUUCUUCUUCACUAUUAAUCCACACAGUAAUUCAUCUUCAGAAAGCUAGAUGGGAAGCUUGCAUUUCAUCUCUUUGGGGGGAAAAAAAACAGAGCCCCCACAGACUGCUCUGUCUCCUGCCAGCUAUGUUCUCACUCCCCACAGCAAGAAGUGCAAAACAAAUGGGCAACCAGUGAUGGGUCUUGUGGAUUUGAAAUCUAUAAUCAUUAUAAAUCCAUUCGCUGUACCCCCAGAACAUUGUAUCAGAUUUGUUUAUCUUGUUUAUGUUGCUUAAUGCCAUUUGACAAAAUGGCUGUCAAACAGGGAAUCAGGAGUUACUCACAUGCCUCAUGGAUGCCCGGGUUAUCGCUGAACUCCAGCACGUAGAGGUGGCGCCCCUCCACGCUGCGCCCGAUGCUGUAGAUGCGCGUGAUGUAGGGGCAUU